RNAcentral lists this ribosomal RNA (3457 nucleotides) under Nitrososphaerota archaeon. RNAcentral describes it as "Thaumarchaeota archaeon 23S ribosomal RNA". It matches the Rfam family "Archaeal large subunit ribosomal RNA". Lineage: Archaea; Thermoproteati; Nitrososphaerota. The record is from RNAcentral.
AGUGCAAAGACGCCGGUUGGGGAAUGACUCGGCUUGGUAAGUGAUGAAGGACGUGGCAAGCUGCGAUAAGCCCGGGGUAGGUGCAAGCGACCGUUGAUCCUGGGAUUUCCGAAUGAGGUCUCUCUUUACACUCCCUUGCUUUUCGCUUGGGAGGGCGAACUGUCCGAAGUGAAGCAUCUGAGUAGGAUGAGGAAGAGAAAUCAACACGAGAUUCCGCUAGUAGCGGCGAGCGAAAACGGAAGAGCCCAAACUGAAUCUGUCACGGUAACGUGAUAGAGAUGUGGUGUGCUAUGGCGUAUAGGAUGCUGUUCUCCGAGCUGAAGUGCUCUGGAACGUGCUGGCGAAGAGGGUGAUACCCCCGUAAGCGUAAGGGAAUGGGAUUCUGCUAUAGCAAGAGUAUCUGGCCUUGGCAGUGGCCAGUGACUAUGGGUGAAAGUAGCAUCCAAGGCUAAAUAUUCACCAAGACCGAUAGCAUACUAGUACUGUGAAGGAAAGUUGAAAAGUACCCCGGAAGGGGGAUGAAAAGUGUCUGAAACCAACCGGUUACAGACGUGUACGGCUUGAAAGGAGUUUGGUAGAGGUCCCGCAAGGGAUUGAAGCCUUCCAGAGUCGUACGUUCCGUCUAGAAACACGGGCCAGGGAGAUUGCUGUCAUGGCGAGCCUAACCUGACGAAGGGGAGGCGAAGGGAAACCGAAUUCGCGCAGCUUCGGCGAGGCGAAGGAUCCGAAAGGGUCUUCAGUCAUGGCAGUAAGGCUAGAAACCGGACGAUCUAGUCCUGGAUAAGACGAAGGCGGGCUAACGCCCGCUGGAGGUCUGCAAGGGUCCUGACGUGCAAAUCGGUCCCCAGAUCUGGGAUUAGGGGUCAAAAACCAAUCUAGUCCGGUGAUCGCUAGUUCCCACCGAAGUGGAUCGCAGUCCUGCCUCAGUGGAGACUGCUUGUAUUGUAGAGCACCGAUCGGACGGUAAGGGCUCGAAAGGGCUCGCCGCCCAUUCGAACUCCGAAUGUACAGGCGUCGUAGAAGCUGGGAGGCGGGUUUAUGUGGGGUAAGCCUCAUAACCGAAAGGGGGACAACCCAGACUAAAGUUAAGGUCCCUAAGUGUCUGCUAAGUGUCAAACAAAAAGGCGUUUUCGAGCGAAGACAGCAGGGAGGUAGGCUCAGAAGCAGCCAUCCUUCAAAGAGUGCGUAACAGCUCACCUGCCGAGCUCGGAAGCCCUGAAAAUGGACGGGGCUCAAGUAGGCCACCGAUACUUUAGACCACCGGUAAUGCCGGUGCGUGGUAGGUGGGCGUAGUGUUUGGGUCGAAGCUGGGCUGUGAAGUCCAGUGGACCGAACGAACUAUUGCAGAUCCUGGUGGCAGUAACAGCAUAGCCGGGUGAGAAUCUCGGCGACCGCAAGGGCAAGGGUUUCCCGGCAAUGCGUCAUCAGCCGGGAGUUAGCCGGUCCUAAGAGCAGCCUCAACAGAGCUGUCCGAAUGGGAAACUUGUUAAUAUUCAAGUGCCUUGAAGGGAUCGUUUUUACCUGCCUUGUUGCUUCAGGAUAGGGCAAGCAGAACCGUCGUUCUGCCCAAGUUUUCGAGCGUGGGGGAGUGCUGUAAUGGCGAGAUCUCAUGCGAGGGGCGAGUGGCCUGCCGCAAGGCGGGUUUGCCCAAGUCCAGGAGACACUGAAAGCAAGGUUAGGGAGAUCUCUUCAAGUCCGUACCGAGAACCGACACUGGUGCCCUGGUUUAGUAGACUAAGGUCUGUCGGGCAUACCGUAAGGCGAGGGAACUCGGCAAAAUAGCUCCGUACCUAAGGUAUAAGGAGUGCCUGAGGCUUUUGCGAGGAGCAGGGGCCUCAGGUCGCAGUGACAAGGGGGUCCCGACUGUUUAAUAAAAACACAGGUGGCCGCUAGUCCGAAAGGAUGAGUAUGGCCUCUGUAUCCUGGCCAGUGGCGGUACCUAAAACCUGGGUUCAACUGGGCUAAGGGCCGCUAAACGCCGGGAGUAACUCUGACUCUCUUAAGGUAAACUUGGUUUGCCUUAACAAAAUCUGGCUAUAUGCUGGAAAGUCUGUGAAUGUCAGGCUAGCUUUUCCAAGCUUAAAAGGAGCUCUGGAUAAUCUGACAAUGCCAUGACUGCAGAUGAUCAGCAGGAAAGACUAGAUGCGCAGUGGGUCACUGGGUUCGUAGACGGAGAAGGAUGCUUCCAUGUUUCCAUAAAUAAAGUUCGAGAAAUGAUAUCCGCUGAAAACAAAGAAGGAAAAAGACCUAGAAAUAUUUGAGCAGAUCUUGGAACUAAUGGAACAAAGGGAACAUCUAACUAUCGCAGGCCUGACAAAGAUUGUCAAUCUUUGCUGGGCAAUGAACCGAAAAGUGAAACGGCGCUUUCUAGAAUCCUCAGAGACUAUACGCCAGAAAUCGCGCAAGCGAUUAAGAUAUAGUCCGACCCCUGUAGCGAUACAGGGAGGCUUGCAGUAGCAAGCCCGCCUCGGUUCUUAAGAAUCGAGGUCAUACAAAGCAACAGAUGUGAGCCAAAUGCCUUGUCGGGUAAGUUCCGACGUGCAUGAAUGGAACAACGAGGGCCCCGCUGUCCCCGCCUGCAGCCCGGUGAAGCCACAUAAUGUGGACGAACAGUCCACAAACCUCUGUCGGGGAGAGAAGACCCUGUGGAGCUUUACUGCAGCCUGUUGUUGCGUUAUGGUUGCGUAUGCAGAGUGUAGCUGGGAGUCUACGAAGUUGAUCCUCCGGGGUCAAUAGAGACGCCAUUGUAACACCAGCCAUUCGUUACCGUAUCGCUAACCCGUUCUCACGGGGACAACGGCAGGUGGGCAGUUCGGCUGGGGCGGCACCCCCUUGAAAAAGUAUCGAGGGGGCCCAAAGAUUGGCUCAGGCGGGACAGAACUCCGCCGGUGAGGGCAAAGCCAAAAGCCAGUCUGACUGUGUUCCCAAUGAUACGGAAUACAGAGGAGAAAUCCGGGCUUAGCGAUCCAUCAUGUCCCCACUAUUGGGGGCUGGUGGUGACAGAAAAGUUACCCUAGGGAUAACAGGCUCGUCGCGGGCGAGAGCUCCCAUCGACCCCGCGGUUUGGUACCUCGAUGUCGGCUCUUCCCAUCCUGGUUCUGCAGCAGGAGCCAAGGGUGGGGCUGCUCGCCCAUUAAAGGGGAACGUGAGCUGGGUUUAGACCGUCGUGAGACAGGUCGGUCUCUGCCUGACAGGGGCGCGGUUGUCUGAGGGGAAGUUGCCCCUAGUACGAGAGGAACAGGGCAGCGCAGCCUCUGGUUUAUCAGCUGUCCGACAGGGCACGCUGAGCAGCUAAGCUGCUUAGGAUAAGUCCUGAAAGCAUCUAAGGACGAAGCCUUUCCCGAGAAAAGACAGCCUUCCGCAAGGAGAAGGGCGGCCAUAGAAGAUGGCGUUGAUGGGAUGGAGGUGUAAGCACCAAGCUUCGGCGAGGUGUUCAGCCUGCCAUUCCCAAUAGCCC